AGAGUUUGAUCAUGGCUCAGGAUGAACGCUGGCGGCGUGCUUAACACAUGCAAGUUGCGCGGUGAUCUCAAGAAGUUUUCGGACGGAAAGGGAGAGCAGCAGCGGACGGGUGAGUAAAGCACAAGGACUUGUCCCGAAGAGGGGGACAACUGUGGGAAACCACAGCUAAUACCCCAUAAGCCGAGAGGUGAAAGCAGCGAUGCGCUUUAGGAGAGACUUGUGUCCUAUCAGGUAGUUGGUGAGGUAACGGCUCACCAAGCCGAAGACGGGUAGCCGGACUGAGAGGUUGUACGGCCACAUUGGAACUGAGAGACGGUCCAGACUCCUACGGGAGGCAGCAGUGGGGAAUAUUGGGCAAUGGGGGGCCAACCCUGACCCAGCGACGCCGCGUGAGGGAAGACAGCCUUCGGGUUGUAAACCUCUGUUGCAGGGGAAGAAGAAAGUGACGGUACCCUGCGAGGAAGCUCCGGCAAACUACGUGCCAGCCGCCGC
RNAcentral lists this ribosomal RNA (492 nucleotides) under uncultured bacterium. RNAcentral's name for it is "bacterial SSU rRNA". It matches the Rfam family "Bacterial small subunit ribosomal RNA", at positions 8 to 518 of the family's 1533-position model. The record is from RNAcentral.